CUGGAGCUCGCGCUAGUAUUCCUGGGAAGGAGUACUGGCCAGAAGGCACAGCUAGUCGAGUUCAGGCCGCCAGGGCUCCUGAACCAGAUGGUAUUUCAACUGGAACUCCAUCUUAUGGAAAAGCUCCUGGAAGUAGAAGAAAGAAGUACAAGGCAUCUGCUUCCUCUUCCCAGCCUUCAGAAAUCAAUGUAAUUUCUGAUGAUCCUCUGGAGACUCCAGAUAGUGUACCAGAAGAGCCAAAGGAUCUUUCCUCAGAGUAUGUCAUUUAUCAGCCUGAACAAGAUGAAGAAGAGCUGACAGGCUAUGAGCUAGAUAAAAGACAUGGACGGCCCCACCCAUUUAUUGAUCCAAAG
Molecule: unclassified non-coding RNA, 353 nt
Filed under: Hevea brasiliensis (rubber tree)
Lineage: Eukaryota; Viridiplantae; Streptophyta; Magnoliopsida; Malpighiales; Euphorbiaceae
Source: RNAcentral